AUUGAACGCUGGCGGCAUGGCUAAAGCAUGCAAGUCGAACGGACCCGCAAGGGUCAGUGGCGAAAGGGUCAGUAAUACGAUCGAACGUACCCUGAGGUGUGGGAUAGCCGCGGGAAACUGCGGGUAAUACCACAUGUGCUCUACGGAGGAAGGCCGCAAGGCGCCUCGGGAGCGGCGAUCGUCCUAUCAGGUAGUUGGCGGGGUAACGGCCCACCAAGCCGAAGAC
Molecule: ribosomal RNA, 226 nt
Filed under: uncultured bacterium
Lineage: Bacteria
Description: partial 16S ribosomal RNA
Rfam family: Bacterial small subunit ribosomal RNA
Source: RNAcentral